Molecule: long non-coding RNA, 1944 nt
Filed under: Equus asinus (donkey)
Lineage: Eukaryota; Metazoa; Chordata; Mammalia; Perissodactyla; Equidae
Description: lncRNA (ENSEASG00005038241.1)
Source: RNAcentral
GCCGAGCCCUCUGCCCUCCGCCUCAGCCCGCACCUCGGUCCUACCCAGCCACGCGCCUUGCUCCUCACCGCUCCCCUGCCUUCUUCGGACCGCCGGAGGCCAUAGCAAUGGGAGAUGCACUCCGGACAUGUGGGAGAAUUGUUCUCCUACUCCAGUUGUCGUCGCCCAACCAAUAUUUACUGAUGCCCGCGACGUCCUGGGGCACAAGGGGGACAAAACUGGAACCAACUCGGACCCUGCCUGCCCUCAAGUUGCUCGAAGAUUAAUAAAGAUCGGACCUCUGCGCAAAAGUUACACUCCCUGGAGCUUCAAGUGGAACAACACAGGAGUAUUUUCAUCUUUUUCCUGACAGCCCUUCCAUUAGAUUGCAGGCUUCAUUACCCACUAAGCCUUCUCUGUUCCACAUUAAACAUACUGAGUUCCUUCAACCAUUCCUUCUACUGUGGUGUCCAGUAGAUCUUUCUGUGAUGCUAUAGUAGCAAAUGUGGGUUGAGCACGUGAAAUGUUGCUACUGUGACUGAGGAACUGAAUUUUUAAUUUUAUUUUAAUUGCAUUGUAUUUUCAAAAGCCCUUUUCCUACUGGUCACUCUCCUUUAUAUACAUUAUUUGUCAAAUGUCUGGUACCCACAAUGCAAUACUGACCAAUAAUAGCCUUCAGGAUGACUGGUUAGCACCUGGACAAUAUUUCUAUUAAUGCUUUCUAAAAUGGAAUUAAAAAAUAUAUAUCUAUAGAGUAUUAAGUGGUUCACACUGAUAAUCGCUGGAACUAGUAUUUUGUCAGCAAUCCCAGUGCCUAAACUUGUAUAACUGCAUUUUUUAACAUAAAUGUAAGACUUGCUAUUUCAGCUUUUCAGUGUAAGCACAGAAGUUUGGGUACUCCAAGCUGCCAACUUUCAAGCUUGUUUCAAUAUAGUCUACCCAGCAGGCCUUCCGACUGUGUGGCACUUACAGAUUUGGCCUUACUACUAUUUGACCCAUAUGUAGUCUUUACAAUUUGCAAGGUAUUUUUAUGUCCAUUAAUUUGAUCCUUACAACCACCUGUGAGGUAGGCAAGAUAUGAAAUCUACAUUUGAAGCAUAGCAGGAACUGAAUGAAUGGGAUCCUUUUCUACUCCAUUGAGUAUCUCGUAUACUGUUGUCAUCCAAAUCAUUGAUGGAAAUGUUGAAGAGGACCUCCAGAGGCCAGGCUGACCCUGAAUUCUUAAAUAGCACUGACUGGUACAGCAGUGUAAGCAGGUCAGCUCCACUGAAAAGUGUGAUUAUCCAGCCAGCAGGUUGCCAUUCUAUCCAAAAGGAUGGCACAAGAGACAGACACCUGACUUACGUAAAUAUUAAUACUGGUCUUGUGGGAAAAAAGCACAUGAGGGCUGGCUGCCAGAAAAAAUUUCUACUUGUCUGUAUCCACAAAGGGACUAUCAUACCAAAUGCUUAAAGAAGCCAAGUCUGCCUCUCUUCCACCCCCAUGGGGUCACGUUUUAUUCUUCUUAUAGUUCUUAGCACAUCUUAUCCCACCUUGUAAUUGCUUAUAGACAUGUCUUAGAACUACAGCUCAUUAUCUUUCUAACACCCAGCACUCGGCCCACUGCAGUCCAUGUGUGAGCCACUCAAAUUGCUAAAUGAUAAACCAUUCAAGUGAAUGUUCUUUCAACAGUAUCAGCCCCCUCCCCCCCAAACAAACUUGGGACCAGAAGAGGCACAGACCCCUGCCACAUUCCUGCCAGCAUGACUGAUUAAAAUGCCCGUAUAGUUGGCUUGGUCACAGUUUCCAGCAGGUGCUGAGGCUUUUGCUAGUUAAAGCAGCUUUCACUGGAUUGUUUUGUUUUCUCUGUGUGUUUUGACCAAAAAAUAAAGACAAGUUCUCUAACAGUAGCAAUAGAAUACAGGAAAUAGGACUACUCCUUAAUAAUGUGAGUCAAUCAAUAAGGAAAAUAAGUGGUCAAUAAAA